This 76-nucleotide transfer RNA is filed under the name archaeon. RNAcentral's name for it is "tRNA-Phe". It matches the Rfam family "tRNA". From Rfam's summary of the family: Transfer RNA (tRNA) molecules are approximately 80 nucleotides in length. Their secondary structure includes four short double-helical elements and three loops (D, anti-codon, and T loops). The record is from RNAcentral. RNAcentral also lists the same sequence under 2 other names.
GCCGAGGUAGCUCAGUUGGGAGAGCACUCGGCUGAAGACCGAGUUGUCGCUGGUUCAAGUCCGGCCCUCGGCACCA